UACUGUUCUCCCUCCUACUUGGACACAGUCUGUAGUGGCCUCCUCGGGACAUCACACAGAGGGACCGGAAGAUCCGAUCGGUAGCCACCGGCCUCCUCAGCAAGUAUCGAAUAUCAUCAUUGUUGUAAUCGAGGCGGUUGUUCCCCAGCUCAACGUCCAGAACCGUGGAAGAUUCGAGGGCCUGUCUCACUCCCGCCGGCUGACUCGCAGCGUUGACCGAGAUCGGAGGGGGAACUGUGGCGAUGAGGUCACUGAGGCACUUAGUACAGCAGACAAGUGGCAGAGCUGGGAUUAGAACCCAGGACCUUCUGGCUUUACCCACUAAGCCUCACCGCUUAUCAAACGGAACAUCAGUUGGAGAGAAGAUUCUGUCGGGAGUCUACAGAAGAACAAAGACAGUCGUCACGAUCAGGUGAAGCAGUAGAGGGCCAACUGAGUUUGGCAUAAUGUCAAAAAGGCAUCCAGCGUUACAUUUGGAGUCCUGUGGAG
This is a long non-coding RNA of Tachyglossus aculeatus (Australian echidna), 489 nucleotides long. RefSeq lists it as uncharacterized. The transcript is spliced from 4 exons. Lineage: Eukaryota; Metazoa; Chordata; Mammalia; Monotremata; Tachyglossidae. The record is from RefSeq and is a predicted model, not a curated record.